Molecule: transfer RNA, 59 nt
Organism: Toxocara canis (dog roundworm)
Lineage: Eukaryota; Metazoa; Nematoda; Chromadorea; Rhabditida; Toxocaridae
Rfam family: tRNA
About the family: Transfer RNA (tRNA) molecules are approximately 80 nucleotides in length. Their secondary structure includes four short double-helical elements and three loops (D, anti-codon, and T loops).
Source: Rfam
UAGCGCAGUAGGAUAGCGCGUCAGUCUCAUAAUGUGAAGGUCGUGAGUUCGAGCCUCAC